RNAcentral lists this ribosomal RNA (492 nucleotides) under uncultured bacterium. RNAcentral describes it as "partial 16S ribosomal RNA". It matches the Rfam family "Bacterial small subunit ribosomal RNA", at positions 28 to 507 of the family's 1533-position model. The record is from RNAcentral.
GAUGAACGCUGGCGGCAUGCCUAACACAUGCAAGUCGAACGACAACACCGUGAGCUUGUGCUCUUACGGGUGGCGGGGGGCGGGCGAGUAACGCGUGCAUCGGCUUCUUCUCUUUCGGGGGUGAUAACGGAGGACAACUUCUACUACCACAUCAUAUAUUCAACCGUUGGGUUCAAGGGUUCUUCUCGCCUUUCGCGAUUGUAAGAGCCGAGUUCGGAUUAGCUAGUUGGCUGGGUAAAGGCACACCCAGGCGACGAUCCGUAGCUGGUCUGACAGGAUGGUCGCCCACCUGGGAACUGAGACAGGGCCCAGACUCCUACGGGAGGCAGCAGUGGGGAAUAUUGGGCAAUGGGGGAAAGCCUGACAGAGCAAGACCGCGGGAGUGAUGAAGGCCUUCGGGUCGUAAAGCCAUGUUGUUGGGAAAGAAAAGAAGCAGGUUUAAACGCGCAGGUAGUGACGGUACCGAAAGAAUAAGCACCGGCUAACUACGUG